AACAGGGACAAAAAGCGUGAAGCUUACAAGCGCUGGCUCAUCUCAGCUUAACGGGCCAGCACUAAUAAGGCCUUCUUUAGUUCCAAAAAAUUCUACAAAAUGAAAAAUAUAGUACUUUCGUUUGUAUUUGACAAAUAUUAUUUAAUCAUGGACUAACUAGGCUCAAAAGAUUUAUCUCGCAAAUUAUAGAUAAACUAUGUAAUUAAUUAUUUUUUAUUUAUAUUUAAUGCUUCAUGUAUGUGCCGUGAUUUGAUGUGACAGGAAUCUAAAAAAUUUUACAAAAGUUUUUGCAAACUAAACAAGGCCUAAUCACCUUUCCGAUGCUGAUGUGCCCGUCCUUCACCGGCGCUUUGUCAUGACUCGUAUGAUGCUACUGCCAUCACGCCUUAAGACAAGGCCCCGUCGCACUGCAACUCCACUGGCCGGCCUAAACGGGACAUGCACAUUGGUAGGCGACACAACCAAAAUCUUGUGCGAUUUCCGUCGCAGUCCAGUACUACUACAGUACUAGCUAGUAGAAACCACGGCUCCACGCCACUCAUGCACGUUUCAUCUAGCACUGACAUGAUAGCGCACGCAUGUGAAACGACGCAAGCGGCAAGCGGAGCAGUAGCAAUCUGCAGAAAAAAAAAAAAACAGUGCAAGUGAAGUCAUCGGUCGUCGAUCUUUACCCGCCACCUAACAUCUGGAAUUCGAGAUCGGUCCAUAGGAGUAGUACAUGUAUACAUAUCCUGCCAAAUCGGAACUGAUCAAUGAUCGUCAGCACUGCGAUAUAUAGAGAAAUCAUUGGUGUAUCCUUUCUCGUAAACAACCCGGCCGGCCAUGACGCCUCCUCAGCAUAACUAAGGUCUUGUUUAGAUAAGAAAAGAUUUUUUGAAUUUCGCUAUGUAGUACUUUCGUUUGUUUGUGGUAAAUAUUGUCCAAUUAUGGACUAAUUAGAAUCAAAAGAUUCG
Molecule: long non-coding RNA, 953 nt
Filed under: Sorghum bicolor (sorghum)
Lineage: Eukaryota; Viridiplantae; Streptophyta; Magnoliopsida; Poales; Poaceae
Description: long non-coding RNA (SBIC_LNC007182)
Source: RNAcentral